Molecule: ribosomal RNA, 680 nt
Filed under: uncultured bacterium
Lineage: Bacteria
Description: bacterial SSU rRNA
Rfam family: Bacterial small subunit ribosomal RNA
Source: RNAcentral
CAGUGGCGAAGGCGGCUCUCUGGUCUGUAACUGACGCUGAGGCUCGAAAGCGUGGGGAGCGAACAGGAUUAGAUACCCUGGUAGUCCACGCCGUAAACGAUGAGUGCUAAGUGUUGGAGGGUUUCCGCCCUUCAGUGCUGCAGCAAACGCAUUAAGCACUCCGCCUGGGGAGUACGACCGCAAGGUUGAAACUCAAAGGAAUUGACGGGGGCCCGCACAAGCGGUGGAGCAUGUGGUUUAAUUCGAAGCAACGCGAAGAACCUUACCGGGUCUUGACAUCCUUUGACCACUCUAGAGAUAGAGCUUCCCCUUCGGGGGCAAAGUGACAGGUGGUGCAUGGUUGUCGUCAGCUCGUGUCGUGAGAUGUUGGGUUAAGUCCCGCAACGAGCGCAACCCUUAUUGUUAGUUGCCAUCAUUUAGUUGGGCACUCUAGCGAGACUGCCGGUGACAAACCGGAGGAAGGUGGGGAUGACGUCAAAUCAUCAUGCCCCUUAUGACCUGGGCUACACACGUGCUACAAUGGGAAGUACAACGAGUUGCGAAGUCGCGAGGCUAAGCUAAUCUCUUAAAGCUUCUCUCAGUUCGGAUUGUAGGCUGCAACUCGCCUACAUGAAGCCGGAAUCGCUAGUAAUCGCGGAUCAGCACGCCGCGGUGAAUACGUUCCCGGGCCUUGUACACAC